AACGCGAACAUCUUUUACUGGAGUACCGACCACCACACUUGGAUUAGUCUUAUAUCGCCGCUCGCCUACAAGCUCUGAGAACACCACGAUGAAGACAACGGUGCUGAUACUGGCCGUCCUUCUUAUCUCAGCAGUGAUGCUGACCGAGGGAUCGCCGGCUAAACCAUCAAGGUCCGGCUCACGGGGCCAGAAAUGUGGGCACUACUACUGCGAACCAAACGAGACCUGCAAGCCGGGUCCCUUCGGGCGUGCAUGUACCAGUGAACUUAAAUACACGUGAAAGCCCAAUGGAUGAACACCAACGAGAUCAACGGACUUGGAUGGUCAAUAAAUUUAUAUGCGCCCACUAA
This is a long non-coding RNA of Dermacentor andersoni, 350 nucleotides long. RefSeq lists it as uncharacterized. The record is from RefSeq and is a predicted model, not a curated record. NCBI's taxonomy places the organism in Eukaryota, Metazoa, Arthropoda, Arachnida, Ixodida, Ixodidae.